RNAcentral lists this ribosomal RNA (490 nucleotides) under uncultured bacterium. RNAcentral describes it as "partial 16S ribosomal RNA". It matches the Rfam family "Bacterial small subunit ribosomal RNA", at positions 29 to 507 of the family's 1533-position model. The record is from RNAcentral.
AGUGAACGCUGGCGGCAGGCCUAACACAUGCAAGUCGAACGGCAGCACAGGGGAGCUUGCUCCCUGGGUGGCGAGUGGCGGACGGGUGAGGAAUACAUCGGAAUCUACCCUGUCGUGGGGGAUAACGUAGGGAAACUUACGCUAAUACCGCAUACGACCUCCGGGUGAAAGCAGGGGAUCGCAAGACCUUGCGCGAUUGGAUGAGCCGAUGUCCGAUUAGCUAGUUGGCGGGGUAAAGGCCCACCAAGGCGACGAUCGGUAGCUGGUCUGAGAGGAUGAUCAGCCACACUGGAACUGAGAAACGGUCCAGACUCCUACGGGAGGCAGCAGUGGGGAAUAUUGGACAAUGGGCGAAAGCCUGAUCCAGCCAUGCCGCGUGGGUGAAGAAGGCCUUCGGGUUGUAAAGCCCUUUUGUUGGGAAAGAAAACUUUCCGGUUAAUACCCGGAGAGAAUGACGGUACCCAAAGAAUAAGCACCGGCUAACUUCGUG